UACGAAGGGGGCUAGCGUUGUUCGGAUUUACUGGGCGUAAAGCGCACGUAGGCGGAUCGGUAAGUCGGGGGUGAAAUCCUGGAGCUCAACUCCAGAACUGCCUUUGAUACUGGCGAUCUUGAGUCCGGGAGAGGUGAGUGGAACUGCGAGUGUAGAGGUGAAAUUCGUAGAUAUUCGCAAGAACACCAGUGGCGAAGGCGACUCUUUGGCCUGUAACUGACGCUGAGGCGCGAAAGCGUGGGGAGCAAACAGG
Molecule: ribosomal RNA, 253 nt
Filed under: uncultured bacterium
Lineage: Bacteria
Description: partial 16S ribosomal RNA
Rfam family: Bacterial small subunit ribosomal RNA
Source: RNAcentral